CCUGGUAUGGAGAGUUCUUAUCUUGGACGUCUCUUCCCCAACCUUAAUUUUCCUGUUUCUCAUGAAUGGCUUUGCGAAUGGAGCUGUGGUUUUGUUUUUAUUCUAUUGUUACUGACGAUAUGUGAUCGAUCUAUGAAGAGAAACUGCGUGAGAGAGAUGAAGCAAUGUUGACAGAAGAGAGAGAGCACAACCCGCCAUUUUUAAAGAGAGUCUUUACUUUUGUUGGGAGUGUGCUCUCUCCUCUUCUGUCAUCAUCACCAAUCCUUUCUUUGAUGUUUUACACAUCAGACCAACAUAUACAGAUUCUCUCCAAACUCCACUGUAAGCUCUUCGUCUCCUCUCCCCUCUAAAUUUAAGUUCAAACAGUAAAAGGAAUCAGUCAAUUGAUGGAAGCCAUUUUCUAUGUUACAUCAAUUGAUUUUCUAUGUUACACGCAGCUCCUUAAGCCAGUCCUUGUUUUAUCAUUUACAAGGAUACUGUUUCAGGUAUAUAUAAAUGCGUGUAAUUAAGGCUCAUUUCCUUGUUAUCAUUUACAAGGAUACUGUUGUAUAAUAAGAAUAAAUGUGUCUCAUAUAUGAAACCACCAUUUAACUUUAAUCCAAUUUAUUGCUGUUUCAUGGCCGAAAGCUUUUUAUGUAGUAGUUUCUCUUAUGUCUGUUUGAUAGGGUUAGAGUACAAGUCAAAUUAGAAUUAGGAAGUAUAAUUAGUUUAGAAAGUUUAGUAGAAUUUAAAUUAUAAAGUUUAAUAAUUAGAAUUUUAAAAAAAUUAGUUUUUAGUGGCCUAUGUAUAUGUAGUUAAUUGGUCAUUGUAUUAUAUUGUAGAAAGAGCUCACGAAGUAGAGAGGUAUAUUGAAUUCUACGAGUUUUGUUAAAAUAAUUUUGAGGGUGAGAAAAAUAAUUAGUAGUUGUAUAAUUAUUUUUUUUCUUUGAUAGUGAAUUUGUUUGAUGAAGUAGAUUUACGCUUCUUUAAUUUGUGUGAGUGUGAUUUUCACAACAGAUAGUAUAAUAAUUCUUUAUUUGAACCAGAGACCUUAGGUUAGAAAUCUUGAAGUUUUGUUGUUGGUGAAAUUCCUUUAAUUUAGAGACUAGUUGAGUUUUUCAAAUCUUGCAUAUUUUCCUGCCUACCGAUGAAGGGAAGUGAGUGAUGGAAAAAAAAUUGUUCUAAUUUCUAUAUUGUAAAAGUUGCUUUCGAUGAAGCAAUGAUUCUGCAUACUUGUGGGCAAAAACAUCUGGUGAUCAUGCAAAGGAAGCAAAAUGCACAGGCAAGUAUGAAAGGAAUAUAGGGCAACAGCCUGUGGGAGGCUUAAAAUGGAACAACAUUGCACACAGAAAAGUGGAGAUGAGUCCAUAAAAAGGCAAAGCAUUAACAGAUUUGGCAAUGGAGGACCCAACACACGUCAAAAAGAAACAUGAAGUUGCAGGAAACAAUUUUGCAAAUUUGGGAAAUCGACUUUGACGUGAAAUGCUUACCAUGCCAUCACUUUACCCCUAAAGCCCACUGAACUGUUCUCGCUGACUACAGUUUCCUGACGCUUCAGUGUGAAAUGUACCUGCCUUUGGCCAUUGCCUUGCUCUCAUUAUCAAUACAAAUAAGCUGCAGUAGUGGUCAUCCAUGCACCCAGAGAAGGGAUUUACAGCAACUCCACAGCAUUAUUGUUAUUAUUAUUAUUAAAGCACAAGAUGUUAUUGAUAAUAUAUGUAAAAAUACAAAUUAGAGAUGAAUUUGUGAAAGGAAAAAAAAAUUUAAUUUUUA
Molecule: long non-coding RNA, 1752 nt
Organism: Hevea brasiliensis (rubber tree)
Lineage: Eukaryota; Viridiplantae; Streptophyta; Magnoliopsida; Malpighiales; Euphorbiaceae
Exons: 2
Source: RefSeq, a predicted model, not a curated record